UCCCCAAAAGAAGACGCGCUGUACUGUUGAGCUACCCCCUCCCUAAACUCCCAAGAAUCUACUUUCUUUUCCCUUCUUUGAGGUACUGGGGGUGGGAACCCCUCACAGGCUAAGCAAGAGCUCUAACACCUUUCUGGAGAUUCCAUAUCAAAGUGGGGUAGGGGACGAGACCUCGGCCACGUGGCUGGGCAGUUGGCCACCCCCUGCCCGCUGCAGGGACUUGCUAACCACGGGCACCGAGCGGCCGCCCUCGAGCCUGCCACCUGAUGGCAAUCUCUGACUCGAGAACAAGCCGAGCCCUGGCCUGAGCCAGUCUUCCCACACCUGAGCCCAAUCCAGCAGGCGCUAAGGAGGAAGGCCUGGAGCCAACAUCAGGAAGAACCUAUAAAUACGCCCCAGCCCGCCUGCAGGCCCCUGCUGCCGUCUUGUUUCUGGAGAGAGUCAGUCUGCUCUUUUUCCUUCAAAGCACCCUUUCUCCUUGAGCGCUUUUGUGCUUUUUCCUUUGAUCUUCCUUUUUUUGCUCUAAGUAUCUUUCAUAUUCGCCACUGCAAGUCGUAGAAAGAUUCACAUUUUCUUUAAAUCCCUAUGUUGUGUGCUGGUGCUUGAGGAAACAAACAGAAGGCAGGGAGGGAGACAAAGUCCUCCGGAGGCCCUGCAGCACCUUCCCGUGUCCCAGGCUCUCUGGGUGUGAUGCCCGCUGACUCUAGGCUCAGUGUGGCUGACUUUCUCAAGCUAGGCCGCUGAGCCGUGGGGGCGAACUCGGUAAGCACACUGCACAGUGCUCGCUGAUACCUGUGAGGAGCCUGCUGCCGAGCUUAGGAAGAGCCUGUGCCCACAGGAAGCACCGGAGACGCUGGGCUCCCGCUCUGCAGGGGCUGAGGGGUCACUGGAUCGCGCAGCACGGAGGCUGCCCGCGGCUGAAGGGUCCCGCACGGGGGCGCCCAGGCGCCCAGGCAGGCUCAGUAGCGGAGGCCAGGCCUUCCCUUUGCACCGCGGCCCGAAGGGACAGGGCGGGGCGGCACCGUGCUGGGUGCGCUCAGCGUGGAGAAGAUGAACCCUGCGGCGCCCCCAGUUCCUCGUCUGCGCCCGCAUGCGGGGAACAGAUCUGCCCCAAGGCCUCGGGCCGCGGUGUGCAGCACGCCCUCCCCGCCCGAUGGAGGAGGAGGAAAGAGACUUGAGAAGCUUCCACCAGGGCUGGCGUUUACACUGGGGUGAGAACCGAAAGGGGGCUGCCGUGCUGUGGAUCUGUGCAGGAGCCCAGCAAGGCUAAACACUGCUUUUCUACCAAAAGGACUGGACUGAAACAAGGAACAUUUCAAAGUGAAAGUCUUUUUUGAUAAAUGCUCACAUUUCUUAGAUCUGCCAACUUCGAGGGCCGCAGGAAGUACAAGGAAGCAGCUGUGUGCCGGCGCUUGCGAACAAACUCCUUCCUGCAGCCAGGGUAGUGUGUGCCCGGGUGAUGGUCUCUGCAGGGCAGUCCCUCUGUGUGACGGUCUCGGGAGGCAGGGAGGUGACAAAGGCGGUGGGCGACAGGAACCUCAGGGCGCGCCUUCGGAAGGAGGCUGCGGCUCAAGGCUGUUGGUCAGGUGGGAGAAGCCAGGAAAAGGCCCAAGUCCGUGGUUCAUGGGUUCAUGGGUUCAUGUUAUCAAAUUGAGGCUAAACCGGACUUCCCCGACGCUGCUGUACGCAAGCCGUGUCUGGAGUUCCAGGACGCGCACUUUUCACAUGUUGGUAAAUGGAAAUUGAUUUCAUCAAAACGGCUUAACUGAGCCUCCCCUGCCACGUUCAGAAAGCGUGCAGGGAGUUUGAAUAAAAACUGAGAAACCGGAAGGGCCAUGGCUGAGAGGCGAGGGGAUUCAUGUUUCACACUGUAGCGGGAAUCCGUGAGAGCCGAGGACCGCAACCCCCAGAUAGCCAGGAAGCCCAAAACGGAGGCUGCUGAGUCACAACCCUCCAGGGGUCUUACAGCAAACCUGCCAAGUCUCCCCGGCUGCCCGGGAGCUCUGAGAGCAUGACUGCAGGCCAUGGGCUCCUGCAGGGGCCCCACAUGGGCGCUAGGUGAGCACUGCACAGGCUGGACCUUAAAAGAGUAGUCGACUCCUCUAGGGUAGAGGUUGUAUUGCCUACACAGUGGCCCAAGCUCCCUUCUAAGCCCCUCAAAAACCCCUAGCUAAAGAACCCUUGUGGCUACCCUACUCUGCACCCCCAGUAAAGCUAGCCAGGAGCUUUAGUUUCUUCCCUUUAUAUCUUUUAAGUAAAUUUGUACCCUUA
Long non-coding RNA from Heterocephalus glaber (naked mole-rat), 2271 nucleotides. RefSeq lists it as uncharacterized. The record is from RefSeq and is a predicted model, not a curated record. NCBI's taxonomy places the organism in Eukaryota, Metazoa, Chordata, Mammalia, Rodentia, Bathyergidae.